AAGUAGAGCAAGGGAUAAUGUCAUCUGGAAUCAUGUUUGUGAUAAUUGUUGGACUGUUCCUUCUUGUCCGUGAUACUUUGAACCUUGAUUUUAUCAGGGAUUUGUUAUAAACAGUUGUCUAUAAGUUCAUAAUUCGGACGAAUUGAUUAGAGAAUUUUACGGACAUCUAUUAAGAACAGUAAGCAGCUAUUGGUUCAAGGAGAUUAUUCACCGAUGAUCAUUGAACAUAUAGGUCUUAAUUCAAGACACACUUUGCAGUUUGCAAGGUACUGGCUUCUCCAUGAUUUCAAUUCAUUUCACAUACAUGGAUAUUCCUGAAUACUGCCACAUUGUCUUCUGUUGGGUUGGUACCACUGGCCUAAAAGAGAAACCCUUUGCUCGUUUCAUUGCUUACAUGUAUAUGAAUGUUUAUACAAGCACAAUGCUUUACUUUCAUAUUCUUACUGUUGCCGUAGAAGCUGAGAAAACAAGAGAAGGAACUGUUCUAGAACUUGGCAAAUUAGUGAUUAAAUCUGGUUAUAGGUUUCCUUUUGUCUAAAGAACGUAUUUUAACACGAAGUUGAACUUGGCUUCUCCUGUUUUUACUUCCUUAAAUUGUGUAUUGCAGCAUUGUGUUCAUGUCUAAAAUAUCAUAGAUGAUACAGAUUUGGCUUCUUCCUGUGCUAUUGGUCUUGGUCAUU
This 680-nucleotide unclassified non-coding RNA is filed under the name Hevea brasiliensis (rubber tree). Lineage: Eukaryota; Viridiplantae; Streptophyta; Magnoliopsida; Malpighiales; Euphorbiaceae. The record is from RNAcentral.